RNAcentral lists this ribosomal RNA (442 nucleotides) under uncultured bacterium. RNAcentral's name for it is "partial 16S ribosomal RNA". It matches the Rfam family "Bacterial small subunit ribosomal RNA", at positions 338 to 795 of the family's 1533-position model. The record is from RNAcentral.
CCUACGGGAGGCUGCAGUGGGGGAUAUUGCACAAUGGGGGAAACCCUGAUGCAGCGACGCCGCGUGGGCGAAGACGUAUUUCGGUAUGUAAAGCCCUAUCAGCCGGGAAGCAAAACUGACGGUACCUGAGUAAGAAGCACCGGCUAAAUACGUGCCAGCAGCCGCGGUAAUACGUAGGGUGCACGCGUUAACCGGAUUUACUGGGGGUAAAGGGAGCGCAGGCGGCACGGCAAGCCUGAUGGGAAAGCCCGCGGCCCAACCGCGGGACUGCGGUGGGAACUAGCGGGCUGGAGUGCCGGAGAGGUAGGCGGAAUGCCUAGUGUAGCGGUGAAAUGCGUAGAUAUUAGGAGGAACACCAGUGGCGAAGGCGGCCUACUGGACGGUGACUGACGCUGAGGCUCGAAAGCGUGGGGAGCAAACAGGAUUAGAUACCCUGGUAGUC